UGACAACAUUUCCCCAAUCUUUUCUCUAUCAAACAUUUUUGCCUAAUUCUACCUUUUUCAUCAGCCUAAUUGUAUUGUGGAAUAUUGAAUCCAUAAUCCCAGC
This is a long non-coding RNA of Hibiscus syriacus, 103 nucleotides long. RefSeq lists it as uncharacterized. The record is from RefSeq and is a predicted model, not a curated record. The transcript is spliced from 3 exons. NCBI's taxonomy places the organism in Eukaryota, Viridiplantae, Streptophyta, Magnoliopsida, Malvales, Malvaceae.